UACGUAGGGCGCAAGCGUUGUCCGGAAUUAUUGGGCGUAAAGAGCUCGUAGGCGGCCAGUUGCGUCCGCUGUGAAAUCCCGGGGCUUAACCCCGGGCGUGCAGUGGAUACGGGCUGGCUGGAGGCAGGCAGGGGAGAACGGAAUUCCUGGUGUAGCGGUGAAAUGCGCAGAUAUCAGGAGGAACACCGGUGGCGAAGGCGGUUCUCUGGGAAUGUCCUGACGCUGAGGAGCGAAAGUGUGGGGAGCGAACAGG
RNAcentral lists this ribosomal RNA (253 nucleotides) under uncultured bacterium. Its description in RNAcentral is "partial 16S ribosomal RNA". It matches the Rfam family "Bacterial small subunit ribosomal RNA", at positions 524 to 776 of the family's 1533-position model. The record is from RNAcentral.